GGGGAAUAUUGCACAAUGGGCGAAAGCCUGAUGCAGCAACGCCGCGUGAGUGAUGGAGGUCUUCGGAUUGUAAAGCUCUGUCUUUUGGGACGAUAAUGACGGUACCAAAGGAGGAAGCCACGGCUAACUACGUACCAGCAGCCGCGGUAAUACGUAGGUGGCAAGCGUUGUCCGGAUUUACUGGGCGUAAAGGGUGCGUAGGUGGAUAUUUAAGUCAGAUGUGAAACCCCUGGGCUCAACUCAGGGACUGCAUUUGAAACUGGAUAUCUUGAGUGCGGGAGAGGUAAGUGGAAUUCCUAGUGUAGCGGUGAAAUGCGUAGAGAUUAGGAAGAACACCAGUGGCGAAGGCGACUUACUGGACCGUAACUGACACUGAGGCACGAAAGCGUGGGUAGCAAAC
RNAcentral lists this ribosomal RNA (400 nucleotides) under uncultured bacterium. Its description in RNAcentral is "bacterial SSU rRNA". It matches the Rfam family "Bacterial small subunit ribosomal RNA", at positions 356 to 773 of the family's 1533-position model. The record is from RNAcentral.